UGGAGGAAAGCAGGGGAUCGUAAGACCUUGCGCUUUUGGAGCGGCCGAUGUCUGAUUAGCUAGUUGGUGGGGUAAUGGCCUACCAAAGCUUCGAUCAGUAGCUGGUCUGAGAGGACGGCCAGCCACACUGGGACUGAGACACGGCCCAGACUCCUACGGGAGGCAGCAGUGGGGAAUUUUGGACAAUGGGCGCAAGCCUGAUCCAGCCAUGCCGCGUGAGUGAAGAAGGCCUUCGGGUUGUAAAGCUCUUUCAGCCGGGAAGAAGAGGCUGCGACUAAUAAUCGCAGUUCAUGACGGUACCGGAAGAAGAAGCACCGGCUAACUACGUGCCAGCAGCCGCGGUAAUACGUAGGGUGCGAGCGUUAAUCGGAAUUACUGGGCGUAAAGGGUGCGCAGGCGGUUUUGUAAGUCAGAUGUGA
RNAcentral lists this ribosomal RNA (419 nucleotides) under uncultured ammonia-oxidizing beta proteobacterium. RNAcentral's name for it is "bacterial SSU rRNA". It matches the Rfam family "Bacterial small subunit ribosomal RNA", at positions 197 to 597 of the family's 1533-position model. Lineage: Bacteria; Pseudomonadati; Pseudomonadota; Betaproteobacteria. The record is from RNAcentral.